GACGAACGCUGGCGGCGUGCCUAAUACAUGCAAGUAGAACGCUGAAGGAGGAGCUUGCUUCUCUGGAUGAGUUGCGAACGGGUGAGUAACGCGUAGGUAACCUGCCUGGUAGCGGGGGAUAACUAUUGGAAACGAUAGCUAAUACCGCAUAAGAGUAGAUGUUGCAUGACAUUUGCUUAAAAGGUGCAAUUGCAUCACUACCAGAUGGACCUGCGUUGUAUUAGCUAGUUGGUGGGGUAACGGCUCACCAAGGCGACGAUACAUAGCCGACCUGAGAGGGUGAUCGGCCACACUGGGACUGAGACACGGCCCAGACUCCUACGGGAGGCAGCAGUAGGGAAUCUUCGGCAAUGGACGGAAGUCUGACCGAGCAACGCCGCGUGAGUGAAGAAGGUUUUCGGAUCGUAAAGCUCUGUUGUAAGAGAAGAACGAGGGUGAGAGUGGAAAGUUCUCACUGUGACGGUAUCUUACCAGAAAGGGACGGCUAACUACGUG
RNAcentral lists this ribosomal RNA (495 nucleotides) under uncultured bacterium. RNAcentral describes it as "partial 16S ribosomal RNA". It matches the Rfam family "Bacterial small subunit ribosomal RNA", at positions 28 to 507 of the family's 1533-position model. The record is from RNAcentral.